Eucalyptus grandis is the source of this 130-nucleotide non-coding RNA. Lineage: Eukaryota; Viridiplantae; Streptophyta; Magnoliopsida; Myrtales; Myrtaceae. The record is from Rfam.
AAGAUUAGAGACUUUCUGACUAGCCAAGGAGACUGCCUGAUACCGAGACGAACUACUCGAACACUUAGCUCGAAUAGAGCAAGUUCGGAGCAGGCAAGUCAUCCUUGGCUACCAACUGAGACUCUUAUCU